Molecule: ribosomal RNA, 277 nt
Filed under: uncultured bacterium
Lineage: Bacteria
Description: partial 16S ribosomal RNA
Rfam family: Bacterial small subunit ribosomal RNA
Source: RNAcentral
CCCCGGAGCUCAACCUUGGAACUGCAUUUGAAACUGGCUAGCUUGAGUACUGUAGAGGUAAGUAGAAUUUCUGGUGUAGCGGUGAAAUGCGUAGAUAUCUGAAGGAACACCUGUGGCGAAGGCGGCUUCCUGGUCUGAUACUGACGCUCAUGUACGAAAGCGUGGGGAGCAAACAGGAUUAGAUACCCUGGUAGUCCACGCCGUAAACGAUGUCUACUAGAUGGUGGAUGUUCUUGCGCUUUGGUUUCCUCACCUAACCUGUUAACUUUACCCCCGG